GGGCGAGUGGUGAAAUGGCAUACACGCUAGGUUUAGGACCUAGUGCCGCAAGGCGUGAGAGUUCGACUCUCUCCUCGCCCA
This 81-nucleotide transfer RNA is filed under the name Candidatus Colwellbacteria bacterium RIFCSPHIGHO2_02_FULL_45_17. Its description in RNAcentral is "tRNA-Leu". It matches the Rfam family "tRNA". Rfam says of the family: Transfer RNA (tRNA) molecules are approximately 80 nucleotides in length. Their secondary structure includes four short double-helical elements and three loops (D, anti-codon, and T loops). Further hydrogen bonds mediate the characteristic L-shaped molecular structure. tRNAs have two regions of fundamental functional importance: the anti-codon, which is responsible for specific mRNA codon recognition, and the 3' end, to which the tRNAs corresponding amino acid is attached (by aminoacyl-tRNA synthetases). tRNAs cope with the degeneracy of the genetic code in two manners: having more than one tRNA (with a specific anti-codon) for a particular amino acid; and 'wobble' base-pairing, i.e. permitting non-standard base-pairing at the 3rd anti-codon position. RNAcentral also lists the same sequence under 2 other names. Lineage: Bacteria; Candidatus Colwelliibacteriota. The record is from RNAcentral.